ACAACGGAGAGUUUGAUCCUGGCUCAGGAUGAACGCUAGCGGCAGGCUUAAUACAUGCAAGUCAAGGGGGUAGCAAUACAACCGGCGCAC
Molecule: ribosomal RNA, 90 nt
Filed under: Chitinophagales bacterium
Lineage: Bacteria; Pseudomonadati; Bacteroidota; Chitinophagia; Chitinophagales
Description: partial 16S ribosomal RNA
Rfam family: Bacterial small subunit ribosomal RNA
Source: RNAcentral